This 23-nucleotide microRNA is filed under the name Melibe leonina. RNAcentral describes it as "mle-miR-277-3p". Its record names the gene mle-miR-277-3p. The record is from miRBase by way of RNAcentral. Lineage: Eukaryota; Metazoa; Mollusca; Gastropoda; Nudibranchia; Dendronotidae.
UAAAUGCAUUAUCUGGUAUCUGA